RNAcentral lists this ribosomal RNA (482 nucleotides) under uncultured bacterium. Its description in RNAcentral is "partial 16S ribosomal RNA". It matches the Rfam family "Bacterial small subunit ribosomal RNA", at positions 30 to 507 of the family's 1533-position model. The record is from RNAcentral.
AUUGAACGCUGGCGGCAUGCUUUACACAUGCAAGUCGAACGGCAGCGCGGGGCAACCUGGCGGCGAGUGGCGAACGGGUGAGUAAUAUAUCGGAACGUACCCAGAAGUGGGGGAUAACGUAGCGAAAGUUACGCUAAUACCGCAUACGAUCUACGGAUGAAAGUAGGGGACCGCAAGGCCUUAUGCUUUUGGAGCGGCCGAUAUCUGAUUAGCUAGUUGGUGAGGUAAAGGCUCACCAAGGCGACGAUCAGUAGCUGGUCUGAGAGGACGACCAGCCACACUGGAACUGAGACACGGUCCAGACUCCUACGGGAGGCAGCAGUGGGGAAUUUUGGACAAUGGGCGCAAGCCUGAUCCAGCAAUGCCGCGUGAGUGAAGAAGGCCUUCGGGUUGUAAAGUUCUUUUGUCAGGGAAGAAACGGUAGAGGCUAAUAUCCUUUGCUAAUGACGGUACCUGAAGAAUAAGCACCGGCUAACUACGUG